ACAGUUAAAAAAGUAUUCACUCAUAUAAUCGCGGGAAUAUGGCCUGCAAGUUUCUACCAAGCUACCUUAAAUAGCUUGACUAUGUGUGAGCAAUGGGUAAAU
This 102-nucleotide non-coding RNA is filed under the name Heyndrickxia sporothermodurans. RNAcentral describes it as "Bacillus sporothermodurans Guanine sequence". It matches the Rfam family "Purine riboswitch aptamer". From Rfam's summary of the family: Riboswitches are metabolite binding domains within certain messenger RNAs that serve as precision sensors for their corresponding targets. Allosteric rearrangement of mRNA structure is mediated by ligand binding, and this results in modulation of gene expression. A class of riboswitches that selectively recognises guanine and becomes saturated at concentrations as low as 5 nM. The record is from Rfam by way of RNAcentral. Lineage: Bacteria; Bacillati; Bacillota; Bacilli; Caryophanales; Bacillaceae.